This 272-nucleotide ribosomal RNA is filed under the name uncultured bacterium. Its description in RNAcentral is "partial 16S ribosomal RNA". It matches the Rfam family "Bacterial small subunit ribosomal RNA", at positions 335 to 612 of the family's 1533-position model. The record is from RNAcentral.
ACUCCUACGGGAGGCAGCAGUGGGGAAUAUUGCGCAAUGGGCGAAAGCCUGACGCAGCGACGCCGCGUGGGGGAUGAAGGUCUUCGGAUUGUAAACCCUUUCGGCAGGGAAGAUGGGCGGCACCGCUCGGACGGUACCUGCAGAAGCAGCCACGGCUAACUUCGUGCCAGGCAGCCGCGGUAAUACGAAGGUGGCAAGCGUUGUUCGGAUUUACUGGGCGUACAGGGAGCGUAGGCGGUUAGGUAAGCCCUUCGUGAAAUCUCCGGGCCUAA